Long non-coding RNA from Monopterus albus (swamp eel), 2439 nucleotides. RefSeq lists it as uncharacterized. The transcript is spliced from 4 exons. Lineage: Eukaryota; Metazoa; Chordata; Actinopteri; Synbranchiformes; Synbranchidae. The record is from RefSeq and is a predicted model, not a curated record.
GACUGUGCAGUGUUUGGUGCUCAUUGUUACAGUUGUGUUGUUGAGCAAUGCAGCAUCGAGUUUCUGGUAAUACUGAGUUGUGAUCCGGUGUAACCAGCUACCUGAGGCUGGGUUAGUGCAGGCCGGGAGCGCAGUGGCGCGCAGUUGCGCACAGCAGUAGCUGUGCUGUUAACGUCAAGACACGCGUUGUGCUUCCAGCAUAAAACAUACCAAACACUGAAGUGGCUAACUGUAUAAGCCACACUGCCCCGCUCUCAGUAGGACUACGGAUGCAUAUUACCCGUGGCAGUAAACGCUGAAACGUUUCCUGGACUGAUGACGUUUGUGCACACCGGGACAUCUGUAGGCCACCACCUGGGCACGUUUUCUUAACACCCGCAGUGAACAACACACGCCACUUAAGGCAUCCACUUAAAGCAAGUGACAGUGCCAAGGACUGGGGAGUCACUGCAACCAGGAAUACAGACAUUACAUCAUACCAGAGGCUACAGUAUGAAAGACUUUUGGACUGACAAAAUUGUUGGCUGACCCUUCAGACAUGGCUACCACACAGUUGAAUGAGUGCAGGAACAAGAACUGGAGAUGCUUGAAAAUCUUCACUUAAUUAACCCAGACACUGCACCCUGUGUGCAAACCGGACACCACCAGAGAGCAAGUGAAAAUGUUCUACUUUCAGUCCUUCCUUGCAUCUUGAUAUUCUGUACAUGACAAUUACCAACAGAUGAAGCAGCAAAACAGUCUUUGCGGACCAAACAUCUGCUUCAGUCACUGCAAAGAAUGUGUACAUAACUUUUAGUUCAGCUGUACAGAGAUCAUGGUGUUCCAAUUCAGUUAAGAUUUUGCUUUAGGGAUACAUAACAAUGGCCUCCUGGUUUUGUUAUUAAGGGAUGCAUAGCUACACUACAAUUUCUUGAUACCCUUUAUUUACAAAUCACAAAUUACUUUGUAGUUUGUCUUUUUAAUUGACUGGCUUUAUAAGCUGAAAUAUUUUCUCAUCAAACAAGACUGCAGUUGCUUUGAGAGUAAUCUAAAGUUACUGCAUGUUAAAAAUAGGAUGCUCACCUCUAAAAUAACAAAAUACUCAGCUGUCUAACUCUGUCUUGAAGUCAGCAGAUAAAUCGGAUCACUUUACACCCUCCACCAGUGUGACCCCUAUCAGAUUUGGUAUGCAGGGUGGAUAUCUCCCCCUUAGCAGAAUGAUAACUGAAUAACCAUUACCAAGACAUCAAUCCCACUACAAUUGCCUUCUUGGGAGUAUAGCAUGGUAAUAAGUUAGGGAAAUGGCUGUUUGUGCUUGCUCAUAGUAAUUCACUAUGUAUGCAAGAUGUUAAAUACAUGGGCUAAGGUCUUUGAUCAAAGCUUGAUGGGUUGUGAGGUCAGCUACAACAUGACCUCAGUGACCUAUGUAAGAACCAAUAGGCCAUUGGAGAAAUGGUCAAAUACACUGCCAGCACUCCUACAGCAUGUUGCCAUCACAGGUACCUCAGACCUCAGCAUUUAUCGUGUCUGCUUUCUGUACAGAAGGAGUUUUGGUUCACAUUGUUAGUUCUUAAACCCCAACAAACAUAUGAGCUGUUGUAGUUACACUACUGUGUUAUCUGUUAUCACAACUGUCAUCUGUUUAGCAGAGUUUGAAAUCUGUUUCCCUGUACCUUCCUCCAAAGAACUGCCUCUGACGAGACAAUAAUACUGGCUUCUGAGUUGACAGUAAAAGCUGCUGGCUAUGUUCAUCAUGUGUCUCCUCAUAUUUUGUACAGCAGGAGCAAAAAUCUAUAAAUACAGUCUCCAAGGCAAUACUGCACCAUUAACAGUCUUUGACAAUAGAGCUGUCUGAUCUCCAUCAUGUCUCUCUUUUUUUCUUUCGACGCCUGGUCUACAUCAAAUAUCUCAAAUGGAUUUAUAUUACAGUAAGCAUUAAUGAGUUCCUCAGUACUUAUGGCAGCUACUUGAGUAGGUUCCUGUUUUUACCCCUUUGUGUCAAGAAUAAAUCCAGCCUAAGAGGGUGAGGAAAGGAACUAGAGUAAAGCUUUAAUGUUUCCAUGUGGAUACUUACAGACAGCUGUCAAUAGUAAAUGCAACGAUAAUACAACAGUGAACAUAAAUGGUGGUCGAUACUACAUGUGCAUUAAACACAAGUAAACAGGUUAACCCAACAUCAUUGUCAUUUCUCACCAAACCACCAGAGGAAGAGUAAUGGACAUAAAUUCGAGCAGGGUAAUAGGUGAGGGCUCGAUUUGUUUCUUCGGCCAUAGUAUGUGUAAAUUACUUUUUUAUUGUACUGUGGCAAAGAAUGUAUUCUGUCCCUACUAUGUAUGGCUAUGUGAUGGUGCCUCUGGAAAAUCCUUCAAAUGUCUUCAUGCUUCCCUUUUGAAAAACUGCCACCAAGAAACCUGGAAGAAGCAAAUAUCAUUUCCUGCCACAUUUGCUAUUUUGGCAUUU